UAGAUUGAUCCUGGCUAGGGAUGAACGCUAGCUACAGGCUUAACACAUGCAAGUCGCGGGGCAGCAUGGAUGUCCUUUCGGGGACAUCUGAUGGCGACCGGCGCACGGGUGAGUAACGCGUAUCCAACCUGCCCUUUACUAUGGGACAGCCCGUCGAAAGGCGGAUUAAUACCGUAUGUUGUCAUGUUGAUGCAUAUUUUCAUGACCAAAGGCGUUAGUCGGUAAAGGAUGGGGAUGCGUCUGAUUAGCUUGCCGGCGGGGUAACGGCCCACCGGGGCGACGAUCAGUAGGGGUUCUGAGAGGAAGGUCCCCCACAUUGGAACUGAGACACGGUCCAAACUCCUACGGGAGGCAGCAGUGAGGAAUAUUGGUCAAUGGGCGCGAGCCUGAACCAGCCAAGUAGCGUGCAGGAUGACGGCCCUAUGGGUUGUAAACUGCUUUUAUACGGGGAUAAAGUAUGCCACGUGUGGUUUAUUGCAGGUACCGUAUGAAUAAGGACCGGCUAAUUCCGUGCCAGCAGCCGCGGUAAUACGGAAGGUCCGGGCGUUAUCCGGAUUUAUUGGGUUUAAAGGGAGCGUAGGCCGGGUUUUAAGCGUGCCGUGAAAUGUCGGGGCUCAACCUUGACACUGCGGCGCGAACUGGAGUCCUUGAGUGCGCGGAACGUAUGCGGAAUUCGUGGUGUAGCGGUGAAAUGCUUAGAUAUCACGAAGAACCCCGAUUGCGAAGGCAGCAUACGGCAGCGCUACUGACGCUGAAGCUCGAAGGCGCGGGUAUCGAACAGGAUUAGAUACCCUGGUAGUCCGCGCGGUAAACGAUGGAUGCCCGCUGUUGGCGAUAUAUUGUCAGCGGCCAAGCGAAAGCGUUAAGCAUCCCACCUGGGGAGUACGCCGGCAACGGUGAAACUCAAAGGAAUUGACGGGGGCCCGCACAAGCGGAGGAACAUGUGGUUUAAUUCGAUGAUACGCGAGGAACCUUACCCGGGCUUGAACUGCCGGCGAACGAUCCAGAGAUGGUGAGGCCCUUCGGGGCGCCGGCGGAGGUGCUGCAUGGUUGUCGUCAGCUCGUGCCGUGAGGUGUCGGCUUAAGUGCCAUAACGAGCGCAACCCCUGUUCUCAGUUGCCAUCGGGUAAUGCCGGGCACUCUGUGAAGACUGCCUCCGUAAGGAGUGAGGAGGGUGGGGAUGACGUCAAAUCAGCACGGCCCUUACGUCCGGGGCUACACACGUGUUACAAUGGGUGGUACAGACGGUCGGCGUCCGGCAACGUACGUCCAAUCCGUAAAGCCGCCCUCAGUUCGGACUGGGGUCUGCAACCCGACCCCACGAAGCUGGAUUCGCUAGUAAUCGCGCAUCAGCCAUGGCGCGGUGAAUACGUUCCCGGGCCUUGUACACACCGCCCGUCAAGCCAUGAAAGCCGGGGGCGCCUGAAGUCCGUGACCGCGAGGGUCGGCCUAGGGUGAAACCGGUGAUUGGGGCUAAGUCGUAACAAGGUAGCCGUA
This 1497-nucleotide ribosomal RNA is filed under the name uncultured bacterium. Its description in RNAcentral is "bacterial SSU rRNA". It matches the Rfam family "Bacterial small subunit ribosomal RNA". The record is from RNAcentral.